RNAcentral lists this ribosomal RNA (172 nucleotides) under Acinetobacter idrijaensis. Its description in RNAcentral is "partial 23S ribosomal RNA". It matches the Rfam family "Bacterial large subunit ribosomal RNA", at positions 2753 to 2925 of the family's 2925-position model. The record is from RNAcentral. Lineage: Bacteria; Pseudomonadati; Pseudomonadota; Gammaproteobacteria; Moraxellales; Moraxellaceae.
GUGCGGAAGGGAUAAGUGCUGAAAGCAUCUAAGCAUGAAGCCCCCCUCAAGAUGAGAUUUCCCACAGUUUAGCUGGUAAGAUCCCUGAAAGAUGAUCAGGUUGAUAGGUCUGAGGUGGAAGCGUGGUGACACGUGGAGCUGACAGAUACUAAUAGAUCGAGGACUUAACCUU